Molecule: ribosomal RNA, 253 nt
Filed under: uncultured bacterium
Lineage: Bacteria
Description: partial 16S ribosomal RNA
Rfam family: Bacterial small subunit ribosomal RNA
Source: RNAcentral
UACGUAGGGCGCGAGCGUUGUCCGGAUUUAUUGGGCGUAAAGGGCUCGUAGGCGGCCAACUAAGUCGGAUGUGAAAUCCCCAGGCUUAACCUGGGAACUGCAUCCGAUACUGGAUGGCUUGAAUCCGGGAGAGGGAUGCAGAAUUCCAGGUGUAGCGGUGAAAUGCGUAGAUAUCUGGAGGAAUACCGGUGGCGAAGGCGGCAUCCUGGACCGGCAUUGACGCUGAUGAGCGAAAGCUAGGGGAGCAAACGGG